CAGGGCAGGCAGGUGGUCGCCGGAGACCUUAAAGGGUCUCCGGAGGAAAGUCCGGGCUCCGUAGGGCAGGACAGUGGCUAACCGCCACCCGGGGUAACCCGAGGGAAAGUGCCACAGAAAACAGACCGCCCCGCACUCAGUUUGUUAUCGAGAUAUUAGUAAAUUAUAGGGAUUAUUCGUAUAUAGACCACAUCGGUCAUACUUCCAAUGUCCCUAUAACAAACUGAGUGCGGGGUAAGGGUGAAAAGGUGGGGUAAGAGCCCACCGCUGGAGUGGCGACACUCCAGGCACGGCAAACCCUGUCCGGAGCAAGGCCGAAUAGGUUCCGCCCUGAAGGUGGCCCGCCUGAUUGUGCGGAACGGGUAGGCCGCAAGAGCCCUGGAGCAAUCCAGGGCCUGAGAUAAAUGACCACCAAGUACAGAACCCGGCUUAUUGCCUGCCCUGCUAU
RNAcentral lists this RNase P RNA (448 nucleotides) under Nitrospirota bacterium. Its description in RNAcentral is "Nitrospirae bacterium (hydrothermal vent metagenome) RNase P RNA component class A". It matches the Rfam family "Bacterial RNase P class A". From Rfam's summary of the family: Ribonuclease P (RNase P) is a ubiquitous endoribonuclease, found in archaea, bacteria and eukarya as well as chloroplasts and mitochondria. Lineage: Bacteria; Pseudomonadati; Nitrospirota. The record is from RNAcentral.